GAUGAACGCUGGCGGCGUGCCUAAUACAUGCAAGUCGAGCGAACGGACGAGAAGCUUGCUUUUCUGAUGUUAGCGGCGGACGGGUGAGUAACACGUGGAUAACCUACCUAUAAGACUGGGAUAACUUCGGGAAACCGGAGCUAAUACCGGAUAAUAUUUUGAACCGCAUGGUUCAAAAGUGAAAGACGGUCUUGCUGUCACUUAUAGAUGGAUCCGCGCUGCAUUAGCUAGUUGGUAAGGUAACGGCUUAACAAGGCAACGAUGCAUAGCCGACCUGAGAGGGUGAUCGGCCACACUGGAACUGAGACACGGUCCAGACUCCUACGGGAGGCAGCAGUAGGGAAUCUUCCGCAAUGGGCGAAAGCCUGACGGAGCAACGCCGCGUGAGUGAUGAAGGUCUUCGGAUCGUAAAACUCUGUUAUUAGGGAAGAACAUAUGUGUAAGUAACUGUGCACAUCUUGACGGUACCUAAUCAGAAAGCCACGGCUAACUACGUG
RNAcentral lists this ribosomal RNA (497 nucleotides) under uncultured bacterium. RNAcentral describes it as "partial 16S ribosomal RNA". It matches the Rfam family "Bacterial small subunit ribosomal RNA", at positions 28 to 507 of the family's 1533-position model. The record is from RNAcentral.